Molecule: long non-coding RNA, 1268 nt
Filed under: Ananas comosus (pineapple)
Lineage: Eukaryota; Viridiplantae; Streptophyta; Magnoliopsida; Poales; Bromeliaceae
Description: long non-coding RNA (ACOM_LNC004145)
Source: RNAcentral
AACAGAUUAUGUUGUGUGCGUGACGAAAUACGAUUAAAAAAUAUUACUUUUUUAUAGUCGUAAAUAAUAGUAGAAAAUAGAAGUAGAAAUACGUUUAAAAAAAUACUGUUACGACAAACGCACAAACGAAACUGAAAAUGACGAAUACAAAAAUCGAUAAAUCAUAAAUAGAAAAUAGAAGAACACACAGAUUUAUGUAAAAAAAUUUUUUUUGAAAAAAAUCACGGACGAGAGAGGAGAGAACUUCAUUGUCGAGAAAGAAAAUACAAGUUCUGAGUACAAUCAUCAUUUAUCGCCUUUAGAGUAAAACGAUAAAGGAUCGAAAAAAAACUCCUAACUGGUUUCAGAUUUGAUCUAUAUUGAUUGCACGGGGCUCCACCCCCUGUAUCUCCUGGCAAAUGAAGCAGCGGGCUANACUUUAGGUGGAUAAUGAUACCCUGACAAUAUAAAUUUUGGGGAUAUUUUCAUAAAUGCGCCAUUAAGUACCAUAAUAUUAUUAAUGUCUUUUUAAAUUUAACAAGUUGAGUGCACGUACAGAUACACGCAAUAAUUAUUUUAAUUUAUUUUAAAUUAAUAUAAAUUUGUACAUCAUAUUUAUCUAGAAAUUUAUAAUAAAAAUAUAUUUUAUAAAUUCAUAUGUUAUAUUUUAUUAGAAAAUAUUUGUAAUAUUCUGUAUUGUUUUUUUUAUAUACAUUAAAUAUUUUUGUAUAUUUUUGAUUUUUGAUAAAUCUAAAAUUUAAGUAUAUGCUUUAAACUACCGGCAUCAAAAUUUAAUUCAUAUUUAUUUUAGAAUUAAAAAUUUAAUUUUGAUCCCUCAUAAUUAAAUUUUUUUAAUUGUUAAUUCAAAUUUGAGAUAAAAAAUUAAAUUUAAUUCCUGAUUUAAAUUCAAAUUUAAAUUUUAAUAUAAAAUAUAUAGAUAAGAAUGCUAUUUUUUAACAAAUUGAUCAUAAUCGUUAGUUUUUAUUUGAAAUAUUUCUUAACAAAUUGAUCAUAACCGUACGCAAAACUGAAUUUAUAGAUGGUAUGAAUGCUGUUUUUUUAAACAAAAUUGAUUAUAACCGUUCAUUCUUAUUUAAGAUAAUUUUAAUAAAUUAAUCAUAACCGUUUGUAGAAUUGGAUCUAUAGAUGAAUAUGAAUGCUAUUUUUUAAUACAUUGAUCAUAACUGUUCAUUCUUAUUUAAAAUACUUUUUAAUAAAUUAAUCAUAACCAUUCGUAGGGAAUAUUCUUUCUUUUUUUUUUUUGAUUUCGUUUAUUAUUGUAAGAAUUU